This 253-nucleotide ribosomal RNA is filed under the name uncultured bacterium. RNAcentral's name for it is "partial 16S ribosomal RNA". It matches the Rfam family "Bacterial small subunit ribosomal RNA", at positions 524 to 776 of the family's 1533-position model. The record is from RNAcentral.
UACGGAGGGUGCAAGCGUUGUUCGGAAUUACUGGGCGUAAAGGGCUCGUAGGCGGCCAACUAAGUCAGACGUGAAACCCCUCGGCUUAACCGGGGAACUGCGUCUGAUACUGGAUGGCUAGAGGUUGGGAGAGGGAUGCGGAAUUCCAGGUGUAGCGGUGAAAUGCGUAGAUAUCUGGAGGAACACCGGUGGCGAAGGCGGCAUCCUGGACCAAUUCUGACGCUGAGGAGCGAAAGCCAGGGGAGCAAACGGG